GAGGGUGUAGCUCAGUGGUAGAGCACAUGCUUGGCGUGCACAAGGUCCUGGGUUCAAUCCCCAGCACCUCUG
This 72-nucleotide transfer RNA is filed under the name Camelus bactrianus (Bactrian camel). It matches the Rfam family "tRNA". Rfam says of the family: Transfer RNA (tRNA) molecules are approximately 80 nucleotides in length. Their secondary structure includes four short double-helical elements and three loops (D, anti-codon, and T loops). The record is from Rfam by way of RNAcentral. Lineage: Eukaryota; Metazoa; Chordata; Mammalia; Artiodactyla; Camelidae. RNAcentral also lists the same sequence under 3 other names.